UACGUAGGGUGCGAGCGUUAAUCGGAAUUACUGGGCGUAAAGCGUGCGCAGGCGGUUUUGUAAGCCAGAUGUGAAAUCCCCGGGCUUAACCUGGGAAUGGCAUUUGGGACUGCAAGGCUUGAGUGCGGCAGAGGAGACUGGAAUUCCUGGUGUAGCAGUGAAAUGCGUAGAUAUCGUGAGGAAGACCAGUGGCGAAGGCGGAUCUCUGGACAGUUCCUGACGCUGAGGCGCGAAGGCCAGGGGAGCAAACGGG
RNAcentral lists this ribosomal RNA (253 nucleotides) under uncultured bacterium. Its description in RNAcentral is "partial 16S ribosomal RNA". It matches the Rfam family "Bacterial small subunit ribosomal RNA", at positions 524 to 776 of the family's 1533-position model. The record is from RNAcentral.